RNAcentral lists this ribosomal RNA (347 nucleotides) under Phyllobrotica quadrimaculata. RNAcentral describes it as "partial 16S ribosomal RNA". The record is from RNAcentral. Lineage: Eukaryota; Metazoa; Arthropoda; Insecta; Coleoptera; Chrysomelidae.
CCGCGGUAUUUUGACCGUGCUAAGGUAGCAUAAUCAUUAGUUUUUUAAUUGAAAGCUAGAAUGAAGGGUUGGAUGAAAAAAUAACUGUUUUUAUUUAAUUUUUAUAGAAUUUUAUUUUUUAGUUAAAAAGCUAAGAUAGCAUUAAAAGACGAGAAGACCCUAUAGAGUUUAAUAGAUAUAUUAUUAAUUUUUAAGAUUUAAUAUUGUAUUUAUUUUAAUUGGGGUGAUUGAAAAAUUUAAUUAACUUUUUCUUUAUGUUUAUAUUUAUAGAUAAAUAAUUGAUCCGAUAAAAUUGAUUAAAAGAAAAAAUUACCUUAGGGAUAACAGCGUAAUUUUAUUGGAGAGUU